UGGCUGCUUUCGUUGGCAUCAUCGUGGUCGCCAUCUUUUCCCCGGCAAGCAGAUCCUGGAGACCGACGUCAGCAAGAUUGGCGUGUCUGGUCUAGACACGUUUUUGGACUUCGUUAGGAACAUGUUUCCGGAGAACAUCGUCCAAGCCUGCUUCCAACUGCACCGAACAGUUCGCAUUGCCCAACCGCCACGCUUUGUCCCGUUGGGCGUUAAUGCAAGCGAA
Rhipicephalus sanguineus (brown dog tick) is the source of this 223-nucleotide long non-coding RNA. RefSeq lists it as uncharacterized. Lineage: Eukaryota; Metazoa; Arthropoda; Arachnida; Ixodida; Ixodidae. The record is from RefSeq and is a predicted model, not a curated record. The transcript has 2 exons.